This 269-nucleotide ribosomal RNA is filed under the name uncultured bacterium. RNAcentral's name for it is "partial 16S ribosomal RNA". It matches the Rfam family "Bacterial small subunit ribosomal RNA", at positions 524 to 788 of the family's 1533-position model. The record is from RNAcentral.
GACGGGGGGUCCAAGCGUUGUUCGGAAUCAUUGGGCGUAAAGCGUGUGCAGGUGGUCUUGAAAGUUAGGUGUGAAAUCCCCGGGCUCAACUCGGGAAGUGCACUUAAAACUACAAGACUUGAGUAAGGAAGAGGGUCGUGGAAUUCCAGGUGUAGUGGUGAAAUACGUAGAUAUCUGGAGGAACACCGGUGGCGAAGGCGGGCGAGCCUGGUCCUAUACUGACACUCAUACACGAAAGCGUGGGGAUCAAACAGGAGUUAAGAAACCCU